UUGGUUGCAGUGAUUAUAAAAAAUUCCUCGUACUGAGUGCCAUAGCCAUGGCUUGACAGACACUUUUACACCCAUAGAAUAUGAGCAACC
RNAcentral lists this small nucleolar RNA (90 nucleotides) under Helianthus annuus (common sunflower). Its description in RNAcentral is "Small nucleolar RNA snoR8a". It matches the Rfam family "Small nucleolar RNA snoR8a". Lineage: Eukaryota; Viridiplantae; Streptophyta; Magnoliopsida; Asterales; Asteraceae. The record is from RNAcentral.